This 1073-nucleotide long non-coding RNA is filed under the name Eptatretus burgeri (inshore hagfish). RNAcentral describes it as "lncRNA (ENSEBUG00000017236.1)". The record is from RNAcentral. Lineage: Eukaryota; Metazoa; Chordata; Myxini; Myxiniformes; Myxinidae.
UGAUUGGAAUGACGUCACCCGGAAGUAAUAAUAAACUACUCACAAACAAUAAGUAUGGUAUUUUCUUUGCUUUUACGAUAUAAAAUGUAUUUAUAAGAAGUUUUUUGUCAAUUGCUGAAAUAUUAAGAAAACAAAAAAAAAAACAAUGUGAGUGGAUCAGGAAGACCUUUUUCACUGGACACAUGGACGGCGCGGUCUUGGGUUAUUUGCUCUGAGGUUUCCAAAACAUUUUGAACACUGGAGUUAUUGCAACGCACCCAAAAUCCCAUGGCAAUGGUGGACCCACGUGUGGAUUUUGCUGCAUGGCUCGCCGCGCGGGGAAUGAAGCCACGUUUUGCUCAAGCGAUGGCGCGUGAUCUUGGCAUUAGUGAUUACGACGAACUGCUCGCCUGUGCCGAACACCCGCAGGUUCGAGCUGAGCUGUUUGCAUCGGUCCGUGAUCGUUUCCCCUUUGCCUUCUAUGCUGUACUACGGCGUGUCACUGAAGCUGUGGUUCCAACCGUCUCCAAUGGUUCUGAAGUUUUCAACGGCACCAGAGCAGCACCAAGUCUCCCGCAAAUGAUCGUGGCAAUGCUGAAUAGCCUAAGUGAGGAGUUGCGACAGUCGGCGCAACGGUUCAGCACCGUGCAGUUGACACAGAGUAACACCAUUAAUCCUCCAGAAUUCGGGUCAAUUCGAGAAACAGGUUUGCUAAUAAUUUUCCCUCCCUUCCAUGCAGUUGUGCCUUCUUUUUUGUUUUACUUUCUUGCAUACCCUAUUUUGCUUCAUUCUCUCACAUUUCUGUUCCGCUCCAAGCUUGGGGUCCUGGAGGGUGGAGGGGAGGAUGCUCUUUCAUCUCGUUUUGCAAACCUAUCAUGGCUGCAUGGUCCAGCAAUCAAUUGUCUCACCAAUUCAAAUUUCACUAGCUGCAACAAGGAUUAAAUUGCUUGUAAGAGUGUAUAAGAGCAGACGUAGACUUUCCUGUUUGGUGGUAUAGGGAUUAGUACUAAUUGUUGGUAAGCUGUACCUUUUUCUUGAACAAUAAAUAAUCCCAACUGCCUAACUUAGUGUUAUAUACAUAUUGUAUAUUAAAU